RNAcentral lists this long non-coding RNA (377 nucleotides) under Triticum aestivum (bread wheat). RNAcentral's name for it is "long non-coding RNA (TAES_LNC004770)". The record is from RNAcentral. Lineage: Eukaryota; Viridiplantae; Streptophyta; Magnoliopsida; Poales; Poaceae.
CGCGUAGCUUGUAUGAUUUCGCCCUUAUAUGUUGCAACGCCUUGAACUUAUCAGCACCUCCUUUCUUGUGGUGGAAAUGAAUGAUUCGAUGUAUUCAUGAACAUUUUGUGCAGUUCCCAUUGAAAUCAAGCUGAGCACCCCUGUUUUCACAAAUACAAAAAAGUGAUUAGUAUAAAGCAAACUGUACUAUGAAUUGACAGUUUCAACAGGCACAUACAUGGUCCAUAUAGAGCACACUUUUAGAAAAAUGGAACUCACCAGAAAGAAUCCUAGAACAACAUUGUACUCGCGCAUCACAGAAAAAAAUGGAGAUUUGUCAGUCCUUCUGAGCUGAAGUUAGUUUGGUCUUGUGGGGAGUAAUGUAACCAUCCUUCAAC